This 72-nucleotide transfer RNA is filed under the name Camelus bactrianus (Bactrian camel). It matches the Rfam family "tRNA". Rfam says of the family: Transfer RNA (tRNA) molecules are approximately 80 nucleotides in length. Their secondary structure includes four short double-helical elements and three loops (D, anti-codon, and T loops). Further hydrogen bonds mediate the characteristic L-shaped molecular structure. tRNAs have two regions of fundamental functional importance: the anti-codon, which is responsible for specific mRNA codon recognition, and the 3' end, to which the tRNAs corresponding amino acid is attached (by aminoacyl-tRNA synthetases). tRNAs cope with the degeneracy of the genetic code in two manners: having more than one tRNA (with a specific anti-codon) for a particular amino acid; and 'wobble' base-pairing, i.e. permitting non-standard base-pairing at the 3rd anti-codon position. Lineage: Eukaryota; Metazoa; Chordata; Mammalia; Artiodactyla; Camelidae. RNAcentral also lists the same sequence under 2 other names. The record is from Rfam by way of RNAcentral.
GGGGGUAUAGCUCAGUGGUAGAGUGCAUGUUUAGCAUGCACAAGGUCCUGGGUUCAAUUCCCAGUACCUCCA